This 452-nucleotide ribosomal RNA is filed under the name Neisseria mucosa. RNAcentral describes it as "bacterial SSU rRNA". It matches the Rfam family "Bacterial small subunit ribosomal RNA", at positions 30 to 476 of the family's 1533-position model. Lineage: Bacteria; Pseudomonadati; Pseudomonadota; Betaproteobacteria; Neisseriales; Neisseriaceae. The record is from RNAcentral.
AUUGAACGCUGACGGCAUGCUUUACACAUGCAAGUCGGACGGCAGCACAGAGAAGCUUGCUUCUUGGGUGGCGAGUGGCGAACGGGUGAGUAACAUAUCGGAACGUACCGAGCAGUGGGGGAUAACUAAUCGAAAGAUUAGCUAAUACCGCAUAUAUUCUGAGGAAGAAAGCAGGGGACCAUUUGGCCUUGCGCUGUUUGAGCGGCCGAUAUCUGAUUAGCUAGUUGGUGGGGUAAAGGCCUACCAAGGCGACGAUCAGUAGCGGGUCUGAGAGGAUGAUCCGCCACACUGGGACUGAGACACGGCCCAGACUCCUACGGGAGGCAGCAGUGGGGAAUUUUGGACAAUGGGCGCAAGCCUGAUCCAGCCAUGCCGCGUGUCUGAAGAAGGCCUUCGGGUUGUAAAGGACUUUUGUCAGGAAAGAAAAAGGCGGGGUUAAUACCCCUGUCUGA